Molecule: transfer RNA, 73 nt
Filed under: Camelus bactrianus (Bactrian camel)
Lineage: Eukaryota; Metazoa; Chordata; Mammalia; Artiodactyla; Camelidae
Also listed under: 2 other names
Rfam family: tRNA
About the family: Transfer RNA (tRNA) molecules are approximately 80 nucleotides in length. Their secondary structure includes four short double-helical elements and three loops (D, anti-codon, and T loops).
Source: Rfam by way of RNAcentral
GAGGGUAUAGCUGAGUGGCAAGAGUGCAUGCCUAGCAAGCAUGAGGUCCUAGGUUCAGUCCCCAGUACCUCCA